CUGUAACUCCCACUACUCUCAGACAGCCAUGCCUGGCCUGGUUAGGUCCCUCUAUUACUGUAUUUGAAUGUGGCUGUAACUCCCACUACUCUCAGACAGCCAUGCCUGGCCUGGUCCCUCUAUUACUGUAUUUGAAUGUGGCUGUAACUCCCACUACUCUCAGACAGCCAUGCCUGGCCUGGUUAGGUCCCUAUAUUGCUGGCAUUUGAAUGUGGCUGU
Molecule: non-coding RNA, 219 nt
Organism: Pelobates cultripes (western spadefoot toad)
Lineage: Eukaryota; Metazoa; Chordata; Amphibia; Anura; Pelobatidae
Source: the annotation of a GenBank genome assembly